AACGCACAUUGCGCCCCUUGGUUAUUCCGAAGGGCAUGCCUGUUCGAGCGUCAUUAUCACCCCUCAAGCCCUGGCUUGGUGUUGGACUUUAGUUAUAGCUUUGCCUAUCAACUGGUCUCAAAGAUAGUGACGGCGCCCCAGAGGGAACCGGGUACGAGGAGCUUUUUACUAAGCAUGUAUCUGGGACGACUCUGAUGGACGACGGUCUUGUUAUACUUUUACCUAAGUGUUGACCUCGGAUCAGGUAGGAAUACCCGCUGAACUUAA
This 267-nucleotide unclassified non-coding RNA is filed under the name uncultured fungus. Its description in RNAcentral is "partial contains 5.8S ribosomal RNA, internal transcribed spacer 2, and large subunit ribosomal RNA". Lineage: Eukaryota; Fungi. The record is from RNAcentral.